GAUCAGUGAUUCUUUAAUAUGAUAGGUUAGAUCUAAAGGUAUUAACCAAUCAUAUUAAAGAAUCACUGAGCGCUCACUCAACAGUUGUGUCUGCUGAACGCGGCUAUUAUUUGUCCUUGUUUAAUAUCUGAUAAUAAAGAUGAAAUAAUGCCCACAGUGCUGCGGGUGUCAAAGAGAAUGUAGCCUUUAUCGCACAAAAAUAAAAGCAUAAAGGAUCUGCAGAAAGUAUAUAGAAAUCCAAUCUCAAUAAAUUUGUUUGCCAAAUAAGGAAACGCUUUUGUCUACUAAAAAUUUAGGCUAUUUUCAAACCGUUGGAAAAAUUAUCGCGGGAACAAAAUCCAAAAGUUUUAGAGCUUGAAACUUCUUCUUUCAAAUGCUUUUUGGCGAUUUCAGUUAUCUUCUUUUUUAUCAACAUGUGGUUAUUCAUUGCUAUGCAAUUUUUUUGACCGAGUUAUUGAGAUUUUAAGAAAAAUUAGUCAUUUUGACUUUCAUCGCUUAUUACUCGUGAAUAGAUCAACGUACAGUUCUAAACAAAAACAAAAACAAAAAAAAACAAUAAAAAGCUGAAAGUCUAUACUUUUGAAUACUAAUUGAUAAAUUAGGAGAAGCGCUUUGACGAAAUUCCGCAGGAUAUUAUUAAGAGGUGCAUAAACAUAUGAGAACAUUUACAAGUAGUAAUUGAUCAACGAACGUAAGUGUUUAUUACUAGAGAGUAAUCGUACUACAAAACUUUGCUUUAGCAAUGUGAUUGGAACUUUGUUCACGACAAUAUAUUAAAUUAAUCCUUUGAGUCACAACGAGACUCUGGAAUUCCACUUAUUUCAAAUUACUUUUUUAAUUAUUUAGGAAACCUGAACUAAAACCUGAAUUUUUGUUUUUUGGUGGAUUUUGAUCUCAUCAAUAUCUUUAUUAACACUAAAGUGCAUGUUAUAUUCAUGAAUUAUUUAUAAAAUUAUUUAUAUUGUUAAUUAACAAAAAAAUGCUUUUUUUUAUAGGAAAAAUUUAUGUCAGAACGAACAUUACGUAAUAUUAAUGUGAUAAUUGUAAUCCAGGGGUUUUUGGGGGUUACUGAUUACAAAUCUGACAUCAGAAUUUUAAAAUUCAAAAUGGCAAAUCCAACAUGGCGAACCAAAAUUUUUAAUUUUGUAUAUUUGAAUAAUAAUUUUAAUUCAGGAAUGUAUAGGGUAAUAACUACAAACCUUACAUUAGUGUUUAACUUAUUAAUUUAUAUUAUAGAGGGUGUUAAAAAAGGGUCAAUUUUUGCCCAUCACAUGCAACCUAUACAAACCUCAUUUUUCUGUUCUAUGGAUCACAUGUGUUGUAAAAACAAUAUAAAUGUUUAUUAUAGUUGGAACAUUUUAGAAUUCACUCGGAUUUAGAGUAAAGUGGUUCGUAUUAAAAUAAACAUCCUAUAGUGUGCUGCGUAAAGAGCGACGACACCGCAAUUCGUCACAUCUGCAUUAUUUUACGACUCAAAACUGCCUCUUUAUGUAUAUACGACUAUCUAGGUGUCAUUUAAAUAUUAUCUAGAUAUUGUCUCAAAAACUCCUAAAAACUAAUAUAUAUUAAUAAUAAAGAAUUUAAAAAAAAACAUUUAGCAUGCUAUAUUAGAUCUGCCAUUUUAAGUUUUAAAUAUUUUUAAUCAGAUUUGUAAUCAGGAACCCAAAGAACCCUUAUACACCAAAUGUUAACAAAAGCAAUAAACUUGGAAACUUUACGAUUCUCCAUGUUGGAUUCACCAGAAUUUUAAAAUUCUGAUGUAAGUAGAGCAAUAA
This 1775-nucleotide long non-coding RNA is filed under the name Monomorium pharaonis (pharaoh ant). RNAcentral describes it as "uncharacterized LOC114254086". Lineage: Eukaryota; Metazoa; Arthropoda; Insecta; Hymenoptera; Formicidae. The record is from RNAcentral.